AGAGUGACAGGGGAACACAGUGGGCAGGGAGCCCCAUGGGCGGAAGAAGAAAAUGAAAUGUGGCCUAAAUUCUGCCAGAUGUAGUGGGAAACAGGGAAAGGGAUCACUGUUUAGGCCCAGAGAGAGGAGGAAGCCCUGAAAACCUGUGCUGGGCAUAGAAUCCAAGCUCUGCCUUUGGAGCCGGGUGCUGGGAAUGUGGCCCUUUGGUCACAUUUGGUCGCAGAGCCGUCAGCUGCAUUUCACCUGGCCACCCCGCGCGUAGUCUGCUCUGAAAUGACAGUGCUCUAAAGUGAGGCCAGAAGGGCGGGUGCUGUGGCUCAGCAACAGCGAGGGACCAGGGCUCACAGGCCUGGAGAACGGAACGUGUGUCAGCCAGAGAUGCUCAUUAGGGAGGCGGACUGUUACUAGAGGAGAGGAGGUCAUCAGUGGGUAGAACUCAUUAUCUGGGUAGAGGCAUAAGUGCAGGAAGGGGCCUGGCUUCAGUGAAUGAGCAGAGUAUCCAGACAUAGAAGGGUAACUGGAAACCUGGACCUGUCUUCCUCUACAGGACUGUGAAGUAUUUCCGAGUGGUGCUGACCGUGGGUGGAGUCAGCAUCGCGGAAGAACUACAGUGGAGGGAAUGACGCCCCCCAACUCAGGAGUUCACCAGCAAACAGGAGGCACGGAACACAAAGCAGCUAAAUCGUGGGGCAGCAAGUGUCACAGGAGACAGGGGUUACAACGGGAGUGUGUGAUCACACCUACGGCCAGGCAGACCCUUCACCCUCCACAGGCACCCAUGAGGCUGCCCUGUCCACUGGAAUAACUCAUGUGUGAGGGGAAAUCCCUGGAAAUGGUUAAUUUAUGAAGUGCCUUAAGGAGUCUGACAAAGCAGAAAAAGGAGGAGGGUCAAGGGUACAGAUUGAAAAAGAGGCAGAAAAGUGUGGGUGCCUGGGGAGCUGUUAGGAAAGAGACAGUUGGGACCGCAGUCUGGGGACUAUGCCAUUGCCAUUUUGUGUGCCAGGCUGAGCAGUAUAAAGUCUGCACGUAGAACACUUGGUGUCUAGUCUCUAUUCACUAGCUAGGAAACACUGAGCAACUGGGUCCUUAGUUCCUCAUCUCUAAAACUACCAAAUAACAAUAACAAUACCUAGCCUGUCUACCUCACAAGACCGUUAUGAUACCCUACAGCAGUGGGGAGCAAUGGAAGCUUCCCAGGCAAGGGAAGGACAGAGCUGGAGCUCUGCUUAGUAAGGCAAGUGAAUGUAAGCUGGGCUGCUGGAGAGGAAGAUGACCAGGCAGAAGUGUCUGGGAAUGUUAGUGGCUCAAACCAUGGCACUGGCAAUAUGAAGGAACAGGCAAACACAGAAGAUGUGCAGACAAUUCAACAGACGACCAAGUGAUGGGAAGGAGGAUGGGGGAGAGUCAGAGAUGAUCCCAAGGCCCUGAUCUGGAUCGGGAAAGCAGGAGGAAGGAAUGGUAAGGGGGCCAGGAGGGAUCUCUUUGGGACACGCUGUAGAGAGAGACAUGGGGAGUGGGAGGGGGAGCUGGAUCUGCAGGCCUGAUGCUCGUGAGAGGGGUCAGAGUUAGUGUUAUGGGCUAAACUGCAUCCCCCUCAAGUUCAUGUUAGAGACCUAAACCCCAGUACCUCAGAAUGGGACUCUAUUUGGACACAGGGCCUUUAAAGAGGUAAUUAUGGUAAAGUGAGGUCAUAUGGGUGGACCCUAAUCCUACAUGACUAUUGUCCUUCUAAGACAAAAGCAGGACACAGACACGCACAGAGGGAAGACCAUGUGAAAACACCAGGAGACGGCCAUCGACAAGCAGACGAGAGAGGCCCUCAGAAGAAACCAAUCGUGUCACACUUUGCUGUUGGACUUAGAGCCUCCAGAAUUGUGAUGAAAUCAAUUUCGGUUGUUUAAGCCGCCAAGUCUGUGGGACCUUGCGGUGGCAGUGCCAGCAGAGUAACGGAGUUAGUAAUGUACAGGCUGAAGAGCAUCAUGCAGGCGAGCGCUGAAGCUGGGAAAGCAAACAAGGUCACUCAAGGAGAGAAUGAGGGUUUUACUAUCGACAGAGAAGCUCUCAGAGUGCUCUGCUGAGGCCCAGGUGGUGAGAAGGAGCAGAGAGAACACUGGAGGGAAGGGGCUGGCCAGUGCACUGUUGGGGAGGGAGCCAGGGGAGACAGGAACGGCCGCCUGAGAGAGGAAGCAGCAGGGCUGGGGGUUUUCUUCCCGGAGACUGAAGCAAACAGGUGAUGGGCCAAGGCUAGAAGAGAGAGGAAGGAGUGUGAUGGAAAACACAGGUAGUGAAGCUGGUGUUAAGUAAAGACAGGGAGGGUGAAAAUGGGCGGAGAGAGACAUUCAAGUUUACAAGAGACAAGGUGGCUGCAGGAAUGAAUGCUAGCUGACCUCCGCUUUGAACAGGAUGAGCCAGCACCGCCCUCCUCAGAGCGCUCUGUGCCACCAGCAGCACUGGCAUCACCCAAGGCCUGUUAGGAACACAGACUCUCUGAAUCGGAAUCUACAGCUUCAUCAGAGCCCCAGGUGAUUCUGUAAGCUGGGUGGUGACAGGGGUACGGCAAAGGUGUGUGAGGGCAGAGGGCAGAGGGCUGGUUGCAGGCCUUCUCCCAAACAUGCCUUCACUCCCGCCCUCUCUCUCCCUGCGCUCCCUCACCAACAGCCCGAGACCUCUCUUCCAGCUCUCUACGCCUUCCUGCCACUGAGAUUUAAAUGCCUGAAAGCCUCUCUCAUGGUACAUGACACAUUUUAUAUAUGUUAAUUACUAGUAUUUUUAGUGAUUUUCAAAAGAAACUUUAGUGUCUCUCAUAUUGUAAGCAAUCUAACAUUUUGCUCACGCACCCUGUGUGUCUGAAAAGCCUUUACUCCUUGUGAAAAUCCUACCCAUCUUUCAAAGACCAGUUCAAUUUUAAUGUUUGUUUUUUUUUGAGACAGAGUCUUGCUCUGUCGCCCAGGCUGCAGUGCAGUGGCACGAUCAUGGCUCACUGCAGCCUCGACUUCCUGGGCCCAAGUGAUCCUUGCACCUCAGCCUCCCAAGUAGCUGGGACUACAGGUGCAUGCCAUCACGCCCAGCUAGGUUUUUAAUUUUUGCAGAGGCGGUGUCUCCAUAUGUUGCUCAGGUUGGUCUCAAGCAAUCCUCUUGCCACAGCCUCCCAAAGUGCUAGGAUUACAGGUGUGAGCCCUGUACCUAGCCAACUUUUUCUUUAAGACCCUUUCUCUUUCAUUAUUUGAUCAAAAACAAAUCUGACUUUCUCUGAACUUCUGAACAGAAAUAAAAUGAAUCUCCUACUACAUUGACCUAAUCAACACACGUCUCCCGUUCCCUGUCAAGACACCAUGGAGGUGGAUGUUGUGUGAAGAUCCACAGCUGUGUGCUUGUGACUGACCAAGUCUCUGACCCCACGGACCCCAAGUGAGAUGCUUGGCUGCCUGUACCUGCGCACCACAUCCAGCUUGUCCAGGAACUCAUAGACCCGGGCGUGAUAAUAGUAACACUUUGCGGCUACAAGGUCUAGGGCCCGGCGGUUCUGAGUACUGAUCUUCUGCAUCAGAUCAUCAGAGAUCUUCUGUGCCUGGGGAGGAAGCCAAAAGAGAAUCAAGUGGCAGUUCCUCAAAAGGAUAAACAUGGAGUUGUCAUUUGAGCCAGCAAUUCCUAUCCUAGGGACCAUCUCCCCGCCAAACCCCUUGCAUCACUUGGGGCUUAUGAAUCGCUCUCACUGCAUCCUGGAUACCUCUUUGUAGCGCUU
Molecule: long non-coding RNA, 3742 nt
Organism: Homo sapiens (human)
Lineage: Eukaryota; Metazoa; Chordata; Mammalia; Primates; Hominidae
Exons: 3
Source: RefSeq, a predicted model, not a curated record